AUCUUUUUACUUUGAUUAGCUGCCUUCUAAUAGGACAUUUAAUCUUUGCAGGUCUGCAGGUAUCGUCUUAUUGAGGAUGAGUUUAAUAGUCCUUCCAUAUCAGAGUUGCAGAAGUAUUUAACUGAUGAGGAUUAUAGUGUUGCUGUGGGGUUCUAUAUUCUCCUAAGAGCUGUAGACCGGUUUGCUGCCAAUUACAAUAGCUUUCCAGGGGAAUUCGAUGGUGCAAUGGAUGAAGAUAUAUCUAGAUUAAAAACUACAGCUGUUAGUGUACUGAGUGAUUUGGGUUGCAAUGGUUCAACAUUGACAGAGGAUCUUAUUAAUGAGAUGUGUCGAUUUGGCGCUGCAGAGCUCCAUGCUGUUGCUGCCUUAAUUGGAGGAAUUGCAUCACAAGAAGUUAUUAAGCUCAUAACAAAACAGUUUGUUCCCAUGUCUGGAACUUUCAUCUUCAAUGGUAUUGAUCACAAGUCACAAUUGUUGAUUCUGUAAUACAUUUUGAAUCUGGAAUUGCCGCAUUGACGGAUUCCCUUUUGACGAGAUGAGAUGGAGUGGUCCAUCUUCUGCAAUUUUACAGCUUUUUAGGUCAUUUAUGACAUUUUACAGAUUGAGGCAUUCUUUGCUUUGUAGUUUGGGGUCGCGGGGAGUUUGAUAUGGUGU
Long non-coding RNA from Pistacia vera, 654 nucleotides. RefSeq lists it as uncharacterized. The record is from RefSeq and is a predicted model, not a curated record. The transcript is spliced from 5 exons. Lineage: Eukaryota; Viridiplantae; Streptophyta; Magnoliopsida; Sapindales; Anacardiaceae.